CAGGCUUAACACAUGCAAGUCGAGGGGCAGCAUGGUCUUAGCUUGCUAAGGCCGAUGGCGACCGGCGCACGGGUGAGUAACACGUAUCCAACCUGCCGUCUACUCUUGGACAGCCUUCUGAAAGGAAGAUUAAUACAAGAUGGCAUCAUGAGUCCACAUGUUCACAUGAUUAAAGGUAUUCCGGUAGACGAUGGGGAUGCGUUCCAUUAGAUAGUAGGCGGGGUAACGGCCCACCUAGUCUUCGAUGGAUAGGGGUUCUGAGAGGAAGGUCCCCCACAUUGGAACUGAGACACGGUCCAAACUCCUACGGGAGGCAGCAGUGAGGAAUAUUGGUCAAUGGGCGAGAGCCUGAACCAGCCAAGUAGCGUGAAGGAUGACUGCCCUAUGGGUUGUAAACUUCUUUUAUAAAGGAAUAAAGUCGGGUAUGCAUACCCGUUUGCAUGUACUUUAUGAAUAAGGAUCGGCUAACUCCGUGCCAGCAGCCGCGGUAAUACGGAGGAUCCGAGCGUUAUCCGGAUUUAUUGGGUUUAAAGGGAGCGUAGAUGGAUGUUUAAGUCAGUUGUGAAAGUUUGCGGCUCAACCGUAAAAUUGCAGUUGAUACUGGAUAUCUUGAGUGCAGUUGAGGCAGGCGGAAUUCGUGGUGUAGCGGUGAAAUGCUUAGAUAUCACGAAGAACUCCGAUUGCGAAGGCAGCCUGCUAAGCUGCAACUGACAUUGAGGCUCGAAAGUGUGGGUAUCAAACAGGAUUAGAUACCCUGGUAGUCCACACGGUAAACGAUGAAUACUCGCUGUUUGCGAUAUACUGCAAGCGGCCAAGCGAAAGCGUUAAGUAUUCCACCUGGGGAGUACGCCGGCAACGGUGAAACUCAAAGGAAUUGACGGGGGCCCGCACAAGCGGAGGAACAUGUGGUUUAAUUCGAUGAUACGCGAGGAACCUUACCCGGGCUUAAAUUGCAGAUGAAUUACGGUGAAAGCCGUAAGCCGCAAGGCAUCUGUGAAGGUGCUGCAUGGUUGUCGUCAGCUCGUGCCGUGAGGUGUCGGCUUAAGUGCCAUAACGAGCGCAACCCUUGUUGUCAGUUACUAACAGGUUCUGCUGAGGACUCUGACAAGACUGCCAUCGUAAGAUGUGAAGAAGGUGGGGAUGACGUCAAAUCAGCACGGCCCUUACGUCCGGGGCUACACACGUGUUACAAUGGGGGGUACAGAGGGCCGCUACCACGCGAGUGGAUGCCAAUCCCAAAAACCUCUCUCAGUUCGGACUGGAGUCUGCAACCCGACUCCACGAAGCUGGAUUCGCUAGUAAUCGCGCAUCAGCCACGGCGCGGUGAAUACGUUCCCGGGCCUUGUACACACCGCCCGUCAAGCCAUGGGAGCCGGGGGUACCUGAAGUGCGUAACCGCGAGGAGCGCCCUAGGGUAAAACUGGUGACUGGGGCUAAGU
RNAcentral lists this ribosomal RNA (1439 nucleotides) under uncultured organism. RNAcentral describes it as "16S ribosomal RNA". It matches the Rfam family "Bacterial small subunit ribosomal RNA". The record is from RNAcentral.